Molecule: ribosomal RNA, 272 nt
Filed under: Clostridioides difficile
Lineage: Bacteria; Bacillati; Bacillota; Clostridia; Peptostreptococcales; Peptostreptococcaceae
Description: partial 23S ribosomal RNA
Rfam family: Bacterial large subunit ribosomal RNA
Source: RNAcentral
CCGCCCUGGGUUAGUCGGGACCUAAGCUGAGGCCGAAAGGCGUAGGUGAUGGACAACAGGUUGAUAUUCCUGUACUACCGAUAACCGUUUGAGAGAUGGGAUGACACAGUAGGAUAAGCUAAGCACACUGUUGGUUAUGUGUGCCCAAGCAUUGAGGCAGUCAAAGUAGGCAAAUCCGCUUUGAUAAUGCUGGGAUGUGAUGGGGAGCGAAAUUUAGUAGCGAAGUAGCUGAUUUCACACUGUCAAGAAAAGUCUCUAUCGAGGUUAAAGGU